RNAcentral lists this long non-coding RNA (1188 nucleotides) under Coffea arabica (coffee). RNAcentral's name for it is "long non-coding RNA (CARA_LNC002548)". The record is from RNAcentral. Lineage: Eukaryota; Viridiplantae; Streptophyta; Magnoliopsida; Gentianales; Rubiaceae.
AAAAAUUUGAAAAAAACAAAAAGCAAAAGAAAAAAAAAAAGGGCCGCGGAUGAAGGAGAGAAAGCUACAAAAAAGAGGGGAAAAUCUGAAAAAUUGGGAGAGAGAGAGAGAGAGAUAGAGAGGACGAGAGAAGAAAUCUAGAGAAAAAGAAACAAGAAAUCAAACAAGGAAAAAGAAGGCUACAGGAGGAGGGAAAAAGAACGAAAGAGCAAAAGCUUGAGGGAGGAAAAUUGGAAGCUUCAGACGGGGAGGAGCAAGAAAAUCAUAAAUUGAGCAAGAAGGGAGCAGGGGAGAGCAAAAGAAAGUCAAGGAACGGAGGAAAAGACGAAGCUGUCGUUCACCGGAAUCCACCACCACCACCUGCAGAGAAAGCACUGUAAGCUUAUCUUUUUCCUUUAAACUUCACUUUUCUUCAAUCAACGGAUUCUUGAAGCCUUCGAAACAUAUUUUUCGUGACUUUGCUUAUGUCAAUUUUCCUGUUGGUUAUCCACGAUUUUAGAAUAUACAUGCUUUAUGUGUCGAUUGGACUAAAAUCCUUUGUGUUUUGACAAUUUUGAGGCUAAUCACAACUUCAAUUGAGUAGGGAACUGUUGAAUUUCUUCAUGCCCAUUGACUGCUUGAUAAAAUGCCCAAACGAAAAUCUCAAACCAAAAGAAUAAAUCUUAUUCAUUUUUUGUAUGCGUUCAAGAGGAAAUCUGGCCAAUCCAAAGCUGGCUAGAACCUGGGCGUUCGCUAGUCGGGGAGAGGAAGAGAAGCCAUGAACUUUUGAAGUUGAUUUCUUCCGUUUUGUUGUUUUUGCAUUCUACAAUGGUUUAGUGCAUACUUGCCGUGUGAGGUCACUGAAAUCUUGAAGCAUCAGAGGUUGCAGAAGUUUUCCCUUUCAGUUGCAUCGAAGAAGACAGCUUCUGUGAAGCAUGAAUGAAUAAAUUUUUAAAAAUUGUAAUUUAACCCCUUAAUUUUUACCUAAUUUCAUUGUGGCCCAAAAAUAAAAAAAAUCGAAUUGAUUUGGCCCUUUUAAGUUUUAAUCCCCCUUUUACGUCUUCGGUGAGUUGUUGCGUAAAUUAAUUCUGAGAUUUUUAUGGUAUAAUUAGGUUCUAUUUUUUUUUAGUUAUCUUAUUAUCUUGUUGGGUUUAAUAAAAAUUAGAUGAGAAUUGGAUCAGGUUUAAUUUAAUUGGGUCUUGAUGGUGG